GGAGCUGCGGCCGUGAUCUGUCGAGACAAGUCGGGGAAUUUUCUUGGAGCAUCAGCACUUGUCUUUGAGGGUUUGGUCGACCCGGCGAGUUUGGAGGCGCACGCGUGCAGUGAGGCCCUUUCCCUUGCUCGCGACUUGAAUGUGCAGGAGUUGGUGAUAGCGUCGGAAUGUUUAGAAGUGGUAACAAAUAUCAACACACAAGCAUCACCAGUGUAUGCGCCUAUUCUGCAAGAUAUACACUUUAGUAUGAACAUGUUCUCUUCAGUUAAUUUUCGUUUCGAGUGUAGAGAAAAUAAUUUCGAGGCCCACUCGGUUGCAAAAGGAGUUGCGUCUCUGCCGGUGGGUCGCCACGUGUGGCUAGGGAUCCUUCCUGAUAUUGCUUGUAUUCCGGAUGUGAUGAUCUUUGAAUAA
RNAcentral lists this ribosomal RNA (411 nucleotides) under Triticum aestivum (bread wheat). RNAcentral describes it as "partial small subunit ribosomal RNA". Lineage: Eukaryota; Viridiplantae; Streptophyta; Magnoliopsida; Poales; Poaceae. The record is from RNAcentral.